GUGUGUCUACGAUGCACUUGAGAUCUCAGAUGCUGGGUUAUGUGGGAUGCUGCUGAAAUCAAUGUGUGCACACCACCAGAAGGACAACCAUUGUGAUGAUGACAUCAGAGUGCCAGUAUAUGUUUGGCUUCCUCAUGUGGUUUCUUAGGUACAGGACUAUUUUCAUUUGAAAAACAAUAGCCCUUUCCAUCAAUAACCCAUCAUAGAUGGAGAAGGACAGAGACCACAUGGCUGCGAGGAUAUUAGACCUCACCCUGGAGAUCAUCUCCUUGAUAACUGGAGAGGAUUACACAGUAGUGAAGAAGUCGUCUGGUGAGUGUGUGACACCCCGUG
This is a long non-coding RNA of Bufo gargarizans (Asiatic toad), 333 nucleotides long. RefSeq lists it as uncharacterized. The transcript is spliced from 3 exons. NCBI's taxonomy places the organism in Eukaryota, Metazoa, Chordata, Amphibia, Anura, Bufonidae. The record is from RefSeq and is a predicted model, not a curated record.